This 497-nucleotide ribosomal RNA is filed under the name uncultured bacterium. Its description in RNAcentral is "partial 16S ribosomal RNA". It matches the Rfam family "Bacterial small subunit ribosomal RNA", at positions 28 to 507 of the family's 1533-position model. The record is from RNAcentral.
GAUGAACGCUGGCGGCGUGCCUAAUACAUGCAAGUCGAGCGAACAGACGAGGAGCUUGCUCCUCUGACGUUAGCGGCGGACGGGUGAGUAACACGUGGAUAACCUACCUAUAAGACUGGGAUAACUUCGGGAAACCGGAGCUAAUACCGGAUAAGAUAUUGAACCGCAUGGUUCAAUAGUGAAAGACGGUGUUGCUGUCACUUAUAGAUGGAUCCGCGCCGCAUUAGCUAGUUGGUAAGGUAACGGCUUACCAAGGCAACGAUGCGUAGCCGACCUGAGAGGGUGAUCGGCCACACUGGAACUGAGACACGGUCCAGACUCCUACGGGAGGCAGCAGUGGGGAAUCUUGCGCAAUGGGCGAAAGCCUGACGGAGCAACGCCGCGUGAGUGAUGAAGGUCUUCGGAUCGUAAAACUCUGUUAUUAGGGAAGAACAAAUGUGUAAGUAACUAUGCACGUCUUGACGGUACCUAAUCAGAAAGCCACGGCUAACUACGUG